RNAcentral lists this non-coding RNA (45 nucleotides) under Schistosoma haematobium. Lineage: Eukaryota; Metazoa; Platyhelminthes; Trematoda; Strigeidida; Schistosomatidae. The record is from RNAcentral.
AUCCAGCGGAUGAGUCCGCAACAGGACGAAACGUGCGUCCUGGAU